GUUUCCGUAGGUGAACCUGCGGAAGGAUCAUUACAGUAUUCUUUUGCCAGCGCUUAAUUGCGCGGGGAAAAACCUUACACACUAUGUUUUUUUAAUUUGAAACUAUUGCUUUGGUCUGGGUUAGAAAUAGGUUGGGGCAAAGGUUUUAUCAAAACUUCAAUAUUUAUUAUUGAAUUGUUAUUUUAAUUUUAUUGUCAAUUUGUUGAUUAAUAUCAAAAAUCUUCAAAACUUUCAACAACGGAUCUCUUGGUUCUCGCAUCGAUGAAGAACGCAGCGAAAUGCGAUAAGUAAUAUGAAUUGCAGAUUUUCGUGAAUCAUCGAAUCUUUGAACGCACAUUGCGCCCUUUGGUAUUCCAAAGGGGAUGCCUGUUUGAGCGUCAUUUCUCUCUCAAAUCUUCGGAUUUGGUUUUGAGUGAUACUCUUAGUCAGACUAAGCGUUUGCUUGAAAUGUAUUGGGAUGAGUGGUACUAGAUAGUGCUGAACUGUUUUCAAUGUAUUAGGUUUAUCCAACUCGUUGACCAGUAAAGUAUUUGUUUAUUACACAGGGUCGGGCUUACAACAACAAACAAAGUUUGACCUCAAAUCAGGUAGGACUACCCGCUGAACUUAAGCAUAUCAAUAA
RNAcentral lists this ribosomal RNA (622 nucleotides) under Dujonia oleophila. Its description in RNAcentral is "eukaryotic LSU rRNA". The stretch from base 227 to 380 matches the Rfam family "5.8S ribosomal RNA". Lineage: Eukaryota; Fungi; Ascomycota; Pichiomycetes; Serinales; Debaryomycetaceae. The record is from RNAcentral.